Molecule: long non-coding RNA, 739 nt
Organism: Tribolium madens (black flour beetle)
Lineage: Eukaryota; Metazoa; Arthropoda; Insecta; Coleoptera; Tenebrionidae
Exons: 4
Source: RefSeq, a predicted model, not a curated record
UACGAUUCGACACAGUUUUAUUAUUAUUUCAAAAUUAACCAAUGAAAUUAUGUAUUGUAAUUAUUUUUACUGAAUUGGUUGCUGAAAUAAAUUCGUAUUAAAAAAAAACAAUAAAACGAAAAUCUAACAGCGUGUUUCUUGUAACAUGAUAUUGAUCAAGUCGAUUAUUAUUAAUAGAAUAAAUUCUAACAUCAUGAAGAAUUUUAUGGAAAAAAAGCUAUUAAAAGUCUCCCCCGGGAGUGGGAUGCAGGAGAACACCAUAAAUAAGUUACCGUUUUAUGGUUUCCCGCCAAAAAAAUGGACAAAAAGCUUAUAAUUUUUUUGUGUAUGUGUAAAAGGAAGUCUAGAGAAAAUGCAUAUUUAGCACGUUUGUUACCUAAACGUCUCAAAUAAGAGGAUAUUCUGAAGGCGGCCCUAUGUAUGUGCGAGGUAGAACGUCAGAUUGUCCAUUUCUAGCAAUGUUGCUCAAUUGGCUAAAAACGAACUUCUCCCUUGGAGAGGUUUUGGUGCCUUAAAGUCCUCUAAGAUUUUUUUAAAUUUCUUUUAAUAGAUAUGAAACAGACUGAUGGGUAGCUUCUCUGGUUAGUUGGAAACUCCCUUCAAUCGUUACACGCAUCGAAAACGGUUCAAUAAUGAAAGACGUUUAUUGCCUCGAAAAUUGGGGUUAUGUCUCGUGUCAAAAGUGGUGGAGGCAUCAUGACGUAUCGGAAUGUUGGAAAACAGUCUUCGCAAGUGGUCC